AUUUGCCCAAAAUACAAACUUUUUGAUGGACUUGUUUAAUCGAAGGUGAAGCAUCCGAUUUGCUCAGAUCGCUGGUGGGAAUGUCCCAGGACAUCGGAGGAUCGAAUAGAAAGGAGGUUCGGAUAAAAGGACUAUUUCCUGGACAGACAAACAUGCGAUGUAGCUGCGAACUUAGAUAUCUGCGAAACAUCCCAAGGACCACGAGUGCUGCGGUUGAAUCCUUCAGGGCGCUGUGAUUGCUGAUCAAAUUUGGAUGGUUGUCAAUAAAAACUAAGGCCAAGUUUA
This is a long non-coding RNA of Drosophila ficusphila, 285 nucleotides long. RefSeq lists it as uncharacterized. The transcript has 2 exons. The record is from RefSeq and is a predicted model, not a curated record. Lineage: Eukaryota; Metazoa; Arthropoda; Insecta; Diptera; Drosophilidae.